AGAACAUCAAGAACAACAUCACAGACUGAUGACCCAGGUGCAGCUCUGGUGUGGCCGUACAUCCUCGUGGCUGUUAUUUCAGCAGCACUUUUAAUCUUUGCUGUGAAACUGAUUGUACUGAAGAGAGGGACCAAAACACAAGCCAAUGAAAAUGCGGAUCAUGAAGAUGGUGUUUCCUACAUCUCCAUCAGCUACACCAACAAGGCUAACAGUGAAAAUAAAGUUCGGGAUAAAUGUGAGAGUGAUGAGACAGUUACCUACUCCACUGUGAAAGCUUCCUCCACAGAUCCCAGCAGCCUCUAUGCUACCAUAGAGUAAACAAAAAGGAAACUUAAUCAUCAGGUCAUUGCUUCUGUGAAAAAGCUUCGUCCCUAUAAGAAUUAUCGGUUUGCUCAGUUUAAAAGGAGGAAGCAGUUGUGUGAGUGCUUAAAGAGCAGAAUUUGUAACAUUUGAAAGGCUUUCAGUUUUAUUUUAUCUUUUGUUCAAAGUUUUGAAAUGAUGUACAUAGAUGUGUUUAUUUUGCUAUUUGCCUGUAAAUUUUCUAAAACUGCAGUAAUUUAUAAGUUUAGUUUCAUUUUUUCCAUAAACAAUUAUUCAAACAUUUGUGUCUCAUUACUCUAAGCAUCAA
Molecule: non-coding RNA, 628 nt
Organism: Maylandia zebra (zebra mbuna)
Lineage: Eukaryota; Metazoa; Chordata; Actinopteri; Cichliformes; Cichlidae
Source: RefSeq, a predicted model, not a curated record